UUGAAAGGGAAACGAUUGAAGUUCGUCCAGGUGGGGAGGAAUCAACCCGAGGGUUUGCUUUUGUGUGCCAUUUUUUGCCUGGCCGGUUAGCCUCAAUUUUGGUUGUCAUAAAAUUAUUGGGGUAAGGUGGCUCCCCUUGGGGAGUGUUAUAGGCCUUGGUAGAAGUGAUGACCGGGAUUGAGGAAUGCAGGGAAUGCUACUUGGCUAGUCCCCUGGAUUUCUGUUGAUCACCUCGCCGUCGAUAGCUUUGCUAACCUCGGUGGGAU
RNAcentral lists this ribosomal RNA (266 nucleotides) under Acaulospora colombiana. Its description in RNAcentral is "partial large subunit ribosomal RNA". Lineage: Eukaryota; Fungi; Glomeromycota; Glomeromycetes; Diversisporales; Acaulosporaceae. The record is from RNAcentral.